GAUGAACGCUGGCGGCGUGCCUAAUACAUGCAAGUCGAGCGAACAGACGAGGAGCUUGCUCCUCUGACGUUAGCGGCGGACGGGUGAGUAACACGUGGAUAACCUACCUAUAAGACUGGGAUAACUUCGGGAAACCGGAGCUAAUACCGGAUAAUAUAUUGAACCGCAUGGUUCAAUAGUGAAAGACGGUUUUGCUGUCACUUAUAGAUGGAUCCGCGCCGCAUUAGCUAGUUGGUAAGGUAACGGCUUACCAAGGCAACGAUGCGUAGCCGACCUGAGAGGGGGAAGGGCCACUCCGGACCCGACACUGGACACAACUCCCUAGGGGGGGCAAGAGGGGGGACUUUGCAGGAUGGGGCCAGAGUUUAAGGGAAACGCCGCGCGUGAGUGGAAGGGUUUUUGGGAUCAUAAAAACGUUUUUUUAGGAAAGAAAAAAUUUGAAAACAAAACCGACGCUUUGCCGGGUACCCAUAAAAAAGGCAAGGGUCAACAUGGG
This 496-nucleotide ribosomal RNA is filed under the name uncultured bacterium. Its description in RNAcentral is "partial 16S ribosomal RNA". It matches the Rfam family "Bacterial small subunit ribosomal RNA", at positions 28 to 506 of the family's 1533-position model. The record is from RNAcentral.